RNAcentral lists this ribosomal RNA (301 nucleotides) under uncultured bacterium. Its description in RNAcentral is "partial 16S ribosomal RNA". It matches the Rfam family "Bacterial small subunit ribosomal RNA", at positions 509 to 807 of the family's 1533-position model. The record is from RNAcentral.
CAGCAGCCGCGGUAACACGGAGGGUGCAAGCGUUAAUCGGAAUUACUGGGCGUAAAGCGCACGCAGGCGGUCUGUCAAGUCAGAUGUGAAAUCCCCGGGCUUAACCUGGGAACUGCAUUUGAAACUGGCAGGCUAGAGUCUUGUAGAGGGGGGUAGAAUUCCAGGUGUAGCGGUGAAAUGCGUAGAGAUCUGGAGGAAUACCGGUGGCGAAGGCGGCCCCCUGGACAAAGACUGACGCUCAGGUGCGAAAGCGUGGGGAGCAAACAGGAUUAGAUACCCCUGUAGUCCCUGUCUCUUAUAC